CCUACGGGUGGCAGCAGUGAGGAAUAUUGGUCAAUGGACGAGAGUCUGAACCAGCCAAGUAGCGUGAAGGAUGACUGCCCUAUGGGUUGUAAACUUCUUUUAUAUGGGAAUAAAAUGUUCCACGUGUGGGAUUUUGUAUGUACCAUAUGAAUAAGGAUCGGCUAACUCCGUGCCAGCAGCAGCGGUAAUACGGAGGAUCCGAGCGUUAUCCGGAUUUAUUGGGUUUAAAGGGAGCGUAGGUGGAUUGUUAAGUCAGUUGUGAAAGUUUGCGGCUCAACCGUAAAAUUGCAGUUGAAACUGGCAGUCUUGAGUACAGUAGAGGUGGGCGGAAUUCGUGGUGUAGCGGUGAAAUGCUUAGAUAUCACGAAGAACUCCGAUCGCGAAGGCAGUUCACUGGACUGCAACUGACACUGAGGCUCGAAAGUGUGGGUAUCAAACAGGAUUAGAUACCCCUGUAGUC
Molecule: ribosomal RNA, 460 nt
Filed under: uncultured bacterium
Lineage: Bacteria
Description: partial 16S ribosomal RNA
Rfam family: Bacterial small subunit ribosomal RNA
Source: RNAcentral